GGUUGACCUCGGAUCAGGUAGGGAUACCCGCUGAACUUAAGCAUAUCAAUAAGCGGAGGAAAAGAAACCAACCGGGAUUGCCUCAGUAACGGCGAGUGAAGCGGCAAGAGCUCAAAUUUGAAAUCUGGCCCCCUCGGGGUCCGAGUUGUAAUUUGCAGAGGAUGCUUCGGGUGCGGCCCCCGUCUAAGUGCCCUGGAACGGGCCGUCAUAGAGGGUGAGAAUCCCGUCU
This 229-nucleotide ribosomal RNA is filed under the name Aspergillus pallidofulvus. RNAcentral describes it as "partial 28S ribosomal RNA". It matches the Rfam family "Eukaryotic large subunit ribosomal RNA", at positions 1 to 226 of the family's 3401-position model. Lineage: Eukaryota; Fungi; Ascomycota; Eurotiomycetes; Eurotiales; Aspergillaceae. The record is from RNAcentral.